AGGGCGAGGAUGCUUAUCAGGAUUGCAACUCAGGAUGAGGGGUCAGGAAGCUCCAGGAAGGUGAAGACCACCGAUUGUCAGGAUGACACGCGUCUGGGAAGACGUUUUAACAAGGAAAUGGACGUAACAGGGAUAGUGGGUAGCUAAAGGAAAGACAGGGUGUGUCGUGAGCUAACAUGGAAAGUGGAAGCCCAUUAAGGGUUAUCAGUGCGGAAAAAGGCGGCAGAGUAAUCUGUCGCCUUUUUUCUUUGCUUGCUU
Molecule: small RNA, 258 nt
Filed under: Klebsiella indica
Lineage: Bacteria; Pseudomonadati; Pseudomonadota; Gammaproteobacteria; Enterobacterales; Enterobacteriaceae
Source: RNAcentral